Molecule: ribosomal RNA, 301 nt
Filed under: uncultured bacterium
Lineage: Bacteria
Description: partial 16S ribosomal RNA
Rfam family: Bacterial small subunit ribosomal RNA
Source: RNAcentral
CAGUCGCCGCGGUAACACAGAGGGUGCGAGCGUUAAUCGGAUUUACUGGGCGUAAAGCGUGCGUAGGCGGCUUCUUAAGUCGGAUGUGAAAUCCCUGAGCUUAACUUAGGAAUUGCAUUUGAUACUGGGAAGCUAGAGUAUGGGAGAGGAUGGUAGAAUUCCAGGUGUAGCGGUGAAAUGCGUAGAGAUCUGGAGGAAUACCGAUGGCGAAGGCAGCCAUCUGGCCUAAUACUGACGCUGAGGUACGAAAGCAUGGGGAGCAAACAGGAUUAGAUACCCCGGUAGUCCCUGUCUCUUAUAC